Molecule: ribosomal RNA, 254 nt
Filed under: uncultured bacterium
Lineage: Bacteria
Description: partial 16S ribosomal RNA
Rfam family: Bacterial small subunit ribosomal RNA
Source: RNAcentral
UACGAAGGGUGCAAGCGUUACUCGGAAUUACUGGGCGUAAAGGGUGCGUAGGUGGUCGUUUUAAGUCUGUUGUGAAAUCCCCGGGCUCAACCUGGGAAUGGCAAUGGAUACUGGCAAGCUAGAGUGUGAUAGAGGAUGGUGGAAUUCCCGGUGUAGCGGUGAAAUGCGUAGAGAUCGGGAGGAACAUCAGUGGCGAAGGCGGCCAUCUGGAUCAACACUGACGCUGAGGCACGAAAGCGUGGGGAGCAAACAGG